Long non-coding RNA from Callithrix jacchus (white-tufted-ear marmoset), 3564 nucleotides. Lineage: Eukaryota; Metazoa; Chordata; Mammalia; Primates; Cebidae. The record is from Ensembl.
AUGUGGAACUGUUGGAACUUCAAGCAUGGAAUGGCUGGAUUCUCUGCUCAGAAACUCAUGAUGCGGCUGAAACCAAGCAGGGGCCUACAUAGUCAUGAAAUGGGUAAAGUGGAGGUUGUACACAUGUGCACUGAAGUGUUUCAGUGGUGGACGCCUCAUCUGAGUAGGCAGCAUCCAGCCUUGUCAGGUACUCAUCCAGCUAAAGAUUGUGUUCUUGCAAAAGAGAACCUGCAACUUCUGUCUCACCAUCAUCAAUCCAGAGAUCUGAAGAAGUUACCUCUCAAAUAUGCAGCAUGUAAUACAACAGAACAGCACAUGCAUGAAAUUAAAAGCCGGCAAAAGAAUGACAUAAAAGGAUUAAAGAAUUUUAGAGAAUGGUGCCCAGGGUUUACACAGGGCCAGCAUUAGUGCCUGUUCUCUUCACCUAUACCAGAAAAACUCCAUUCACAGAGUGUUGGGUAACAGUAUUCAAGAAAAUCCUGUUUCAGUAACAAUUAGCCCUAGACUAAGCAAUGGAACCUAAAAAACCUAAAAUCAAGACUCAAAAUGAACAAACUUAUUCCAAAUAAGUUUAAAAAAGAACACAACUCAAUAAUAUUAUAGGAAUCACCAGGUGUGCUAUCCAAACGACCUCUGAGGUCACACAGCAUUUCUUCCACUCUAUUCUGUUGGUUGAAGCAAUAAUAAACUUGAAUGAUAAUCAAGGAAUUGUUCACACCUGUAAUUCCAGCACUGUGGAAGGCUGAGGUGGGUGGAUCACUUGAGAUCAGGAGUUUGAGACCAGUCUGGCCAGCAUGUGAAACCCCAUCUCUACUAAUAAUACAAAAUGUAGCCAGGUAUGGUGGUGUGUGCCUGUUGUCCCAGCUACUUGGGAGGUUCAGACAUGAGAAUUGCUUCAACUGGGAAAAGAGGUUGCAGUGAGCCAAGGUAGCACCACCACACUGCAGCCUGAGUGACAGAGUGAAGCCUGUCUCAAAAAAGAAAGGAGGGAGGGAGGGAGAAAAGUAUCAAAAAGGCCUGAAGAUAAUUCUAUGAGCAGCAGUGAUCAGAAAAAGAGGAAGCAUUUGUUUAUCUGUAUCACAGAAAGUAAACCUAUUGGAGAAACCAGACAGCAGUAUACGUGUGAAACAUCUUACAGAAGACUAUGGUGUACGAUUUUGAAAUGACCUCUAUCUAUUAUCCGAAGAAACAGAAUGAUGAACUGUUGAAAUUCUAUGCUAAUAGUUGAUUAGAAGUUACUGAAAAAUAAAAAAGCAUAGUGUAAAGCUGAAAUUGAAGAUUGCGAUUGUGUAUUGGAAAAGUGGAUACAUCAGCAUUACAGUGAACACGUGCCAUUUAAAGGUGUGGUGGAAUCAUGAAGCAAGUGAAGAUUCAUCAUGAAAAUGGAAGGGAACUGAGUAUUCAACAGUGUACUGCCACAAGAAUAUUAGAAAAUAUGUGGGAUUAAAUUUUAAAAUAUUUGUGGGAUAAAGCAUCUGCUAACUGCAAAGCAGCAAAUUCACUGACAAUUUUGCUAAGUUAACUGCUGACAGAACAAAUCUACAAGGGUGAUGAAGCAUCACUGUUUUGGUGUUACUGCCCCAGAAAGACAGUGAUUACAGUGGGUAAGACAGAUCCCACAGGAAUUAAGGACGUCAAGGACAGAAUAACUGCGCUGCAGUGUGCUAAUGCAGCAGGCAUGCGUAAGUGCAAACUUGCUGUGAAAGGCAAAGCUUUUGUCAUCGCUGUUUUCAAGAAACGAAUUUCCAAGUCUAUUAUGCUAACCAAAGGCCAUGGACCAGCAGGAACAUGUUUCCCAAUUGGCUUCACAUUUUAUACCAGGAGUUUACACUCACUGAAAGGAAGCUGGGCUAGAAUACUUCAAGAUUUUGUUAUUUCUUGAAAACUGAUCUGCUCAUCUCCAGUUGAAAUUCUCAUCAAAAUAAUCUUUAUGUUAUGUACUUUCUCCCAGACGUGACUUCCUUAAUUCAUUCAUGUGAAAAAAAUCAGUAAAGUGUAAAUAUGAAAGUGUGCUUUUCUAAACAGCGUGCUAGCAGCAGUGAACAGAACAGUGGAAGUGGGAGGUUUUCAAACAGAGUUUAGCAUGAAGGAAACCAUCCAUGGUGUUGCCACCCUUGGAGCACAGUGACUAAAGGCACAGUUGUACUUGCCUGGCACAGUCUCUGGCCAGUAAGUAUGUUCAGUGUUGAUGAUGAACAAGACUGUGACAUUGAAUAAUUCUGUAUGUCAAUUGUGAACAAAAUUGUAUCUAACCUUACAUAUUUCAACAUUUACCUUCAGAGUCUGUGAGUAAGCUGACAAGAAAGAAGUGAAUAUUGAAGUUUUUAACAUCAAUAAUAAGGCUCCAGUUGUUCAUUCUUCGAAUCAUGGUGAAAUAGCUAAAACGGCAAUGAAUUGAGAUGAUCAUAAUAGUGACAACGAAGACAAUGUUAACACUGCCCAAAAAGAAUGUAUAGAUGAUGUGGUAAAAAGGUGUGAUGAGUUUAUUAAAGGAGAGUUAAUGAGUAGAUGACUCUGGGGGAAAUAUGUGGAAAGCCAUCCACAAGAAACUCUCCUCAUUUUUAGAAAACACACUUCCUGGUCCCUCAACUGGUUUGAUGUUUGUAUUCAGCACCCCCCAAAAUAAAAUAAGUUGCACAUAAACCAUCUAAUCAAAAUACAGCACCAUGGUGGAGACCGGAAGCCUGGCGUUGUUUGUUGUUGCUGCUGUCUAACAACUGAUGUUAACUAUUCUGGCGAUGUUACUAUGCUGUUUUGUUACUCAGAACACAUGAGCUUUCACUGUAUUAAUUGUAUGUCACAUUUUUCUGCUACAUACUUAUGUAUGAAUAAGCCAAAGGAAAUGAUCGCUUAUCAGUAGUGCAUAGUAGUGUAUACCUUUAGAGACAGGAAUGCUGGUGUCAAACAAGCAGACUGUCCACAUGGGUGGCUGAGAGAGCGACAGUGACUGUGCUUUCUGGUGGUUUAAUGUAUAUAACCUGGUUGGUGCACAAAUUAAUUAAAAAUAUUGUAUAAAAUCAUCUGCAAGCUAUGUAUAUGAGGUGUCUAUAAAAUGGAAAUGGUUUUGUUUUUACACUUAUGUCCCAGUCCCUAAAGUAUCUCAUUGUGAGUAUGCAAAUAUUCCAAAAUAUGAAAUACUCUGAAAUCUAACACAUAUCUGGUAUCAAGAAUUUUUAGACAAGGUUUACUCCAUCUGUACCACUUACCAUGUUACAAAUUGAUAGUUAAGUGUCUCUUUAUUCAAAACUGAGUUUCUAAAUAAUAAGAUACAACACAUUAUUGCAUAUGAUUUGAAACUGAAUGCUUACUGUCAGUUUUGAAGCUUGAAGCUUUAUGUCAAAAUGUUUAUUAUUAUUGCAAAUGAUUUAUGUAGCCUGUCCAUCAUCCUUAUAUUAUUAAAAUUUUAGUUGACUUGAUCAAUAUUUAAAAAAGAUAUAAAUAUUAAAAAAUUAGAAGUUCUCAAAUUGGAGUUAUCACUGCUUACCCAGGAUUUGGUUAAUACUUUUUCUUAACCACAGGAGAUAAAAAUAGACAGUCAAUGUAUAUAAUAAAAAUUAAACUAGG